UAUGAAAAAGUGUUUUGGUGCACGUUGAUUUUUGGUUUCAAAGGGUAUGGUCUAAUUCCAUUUUUCGUAG
RNAcentral lists this transfer RNA (70 nucleotides) under Cephalothrix simula. RNAcentral describes it as "tRNA-Gln". Lineage: Eukaryota; Metazoa; Nemertea; Palaeonemertea; Archinemertea; Cephalotrichidae. The record is from RNAcentral.